AGCACGGGAGCAAUCCUGGUGGCGAGUGGCGAACGGGUGAGUAAUGUAUCGGAACGUACCUUUCAGUGGGGGAUAACGUAGCGAAAGUUACGCUAAUACCGCAUAUUCUGUGAGCAGGAAAGCAGGGGAUCGCAAGACCUUGCGCUGAUUGAGCGGCCGAUAUCAGAUUAGCUAGUUGGUGAGGUAAAGGCUCACCAAGGCGACGAUCUGUAGCGGGUCUGAGAGGAUGAUCCGCCACACUGGAACUGAGACACGGUCCAGACUCCUACGGGAGGCAGCAGUGGGGAAUUUUGGACAAUGGGGGCAACCCUGAUCCAGCCAUGCCGCGUGAGUGAAGAAGGCCUUCGGGUUGUAAAGCUCUUUCAGCCGGGAAGAAAUCACAUGGGUUAAUACCCUGUGUGGAUGACGGUACCGGAAUAAGAAGCACCGGCUAACUACGUGCCAGCAGCCGCGGUAAUACGUAGGGUGCGAGCGUUAAUCGGAAUUACUGGGCGUAAAGCGUGCGCAGGCGGUUUGUUAAGAUAGGCGUGAAAUCCCCGGGCUCAACCUGGGAACUGCGUUUAUGACUGGCAGGCUAGAGUAUGGCAGAGGGGGGUGGAAUUCCACGUGUAGCAGUGAAAUGCGUAGAGAUGUGGAGGAACACCGAUGGCGAAGGCAGCCCCCUGGGCCAAUACUGACGCUCAUGCACGAAAGCGUGGGUAGCAAACAGGAUUAGAUACCCUGGUAGUCCACGCCCUAAACGAUGUCAACUAGGUGUUGGGUGGGUAAAACCAUUUAGUACCGGAGCUAACGCGUGAAGUUGACCGCCUGGGGAG
Molecule: ribosomal RNA, 815 nt
Filed under: uncultured bacterium
Lineage: Bacteria
Description: bacterial SSU rRNA
Rfam family: Bacterial small subunit ribosomal RNA
Source: RNAcentral